CAGCCGCCGCGGGAACACGUAGGGUGCAAGCGUUAAUCGGAAUUACUGGGCGUAAAGCGUGCGCAGGCGGUUAUAUAAGACAGAUGUGAAAUCCCCGGGCUCAACCUGGGAACUGCAUUUGUGACUGUAUAGCUAGAGUACGGCAGAGGGGGAUGGAAUUCCGCGUGUAGCAGUGAAAUGCGUAGAUAUGCGGAGGAACACCGAUGCGAAGGCAAUCCCCUGGGCCUGUACUGACGCUCAUGCACGAAAGCGUGGGGAGCAAACAGGAUUAGAUACCCCGGUAGUCCCUGUCUCUUAUACA
RNAcentral lists this ribosomal RNA (301 nucleotides) under uncultured bacterium. Its description in RNAcentral is "partial 16S ribosomal RNA". It matches the Rfam family "Bacterial small subunit ribosomal RNA", at positions 509 to 808 of the family's 1533-position model. The record is from RNAcentral.